Long non-coding RNA from Brienomyrus brachyistius, 3766 nucleotides. RefSeq lists it as uncharacterized. Lineage: Eukaryota; Metazoa; Chordata; Actinopteri; Osteoglossiformes; Mormyridae. The record is from RefSeq and is a predicted model, not a curated record. The transcript has 6 exons.
CACUCGUUUUCUUCUUUUCCUUCUCCUCCACUUCUCCCCCUUCUGCACUCUUCAGUGGCUGCAUCUCCAUGGCAAUCGCCCCAUCCUGCUUCUUGGCUGAUGUGUGGCUCCCAGUAGGGUGAAGAUAAUCCCAGUUUGUGAGUGGAUUCCAACAGCAGUGACCAACAUCCUGCCUGAACCUUCCAUGACGUGGGUGCCUAUGAAAAAAAAGAAAGGUCAUUCCCUUGGAUCAAAAUCCCAUCAGCUGGUAAAAGGUCACCUGGAUGGCAGGAGGUGAGAAUUGUGGUAAUGCCAAACACUUUGUACCUAAGUAAGGGCAGUUAUGGAGAAACAUGCUAUAUGACAUGUGGCCACAUUCUUUGUUCUACUUUAUUUUGACACUUACAUAAUGACAUAAGCCAUUUGAAAUGCCAAUUAAUUGUAUGAAGAAAAAGUAAAGAUGACCAAUAGUAUAUUCAUUCAUUCAUUUUCCAAACCAAUUAUCCUUUAGGGUCACGGAACCACCCAGGGCAUCCCAUCACAGGGCACACUCACACAGGCAAAUUAAUAUCUACAAUUAGCCUCAGCAUGUCUUUAGACUAUGGGAGGAAACCCCACGACAACAUGGGGAGAGCAUGCAAACUCCACACACGUAACCCAGACGGGGACUCGAACGCAGGUCCUAGAGGUGUGAGGCAACAGUGCUAACCACUGCACCACCAUGUCACCCAAUGAAUGGCCUAAUUACUGAAAAACCCCACCCUCCCCAAAGGAACAAUGCCGGACUGUGUGUUUUUUCAUUGCUAUGAAGGCCCCCCCAGGUUACAAUCUACAUACAGAGCUCAGACUCGAAGAACAAUCAGAAACAUAUAUUUAAAUUCCCUUAUUGGAAGACAUCAUCUUUAUUUACAUAUAUGGUGCAUAUAUUGCACGUAUUUGGAAAUUUGCACCACAUAUGUAAAUAUGCAUCCUAUAUGUAAUGUGGCCAAUUUUUAUUAUUUAAAUAUAUGUGAAAUAUUGCAGAUAUAUAUGUGAAAUAUAUGUUUAAAUAUAUAUAUUUUUUCCAUAUAGGGUGUGCCAGAUUUUUUCGUUGUAUCUCAGCAUCGAAGUACAUUAAUGAGCAAGUUUUCCCCAUAACUAAAGAGAAGUAGCCCAUUCUCAUUAAUGAGCUACGACAAUCCACAACAGACCUACCUAGACCAGCAAUGAAGGCCUGCAUCCUUUAGCAUAUCAAGGGAAGAAAAGAACAAGACCAACCAUAUUUGACUUGCGCUAUGUCUCCCACCACCAUCUCAGCCACGGGGAUCUGGAUGACGUUGCCGUUGCGGACCACGGAGAAACGCUGCUCCUGUUCGAUACGACUCUGCAAGCCACGGAACUGCUUCUCUUUGCUCCAGUCAUUGAAGGCCGUCACCAGCACCACACAAAUGACAGACAACAGGAUGGCUGCUCCUUCAAUCCAACCUGCCUCUGCCUCACCCUCGUCCUCUGCACCCCCAGACCCUUUCCCACAUACUGGGGAGGGAAGAAAAGAGAGGCAGUGUAAUCAGGCAGUUUUAACAAAUUCUUGGAGCCAGGGGUAAUAUCUGUGGGUGCUUGUCCCUGUUGUGUAAUAAAUACAUUUUGAUGCCAUUCUGUACUUGGGUCUGAAGUAAUAUUCAACGUAUCCCCCCUAAUAUGGAAUCAGUGGUGGUUUUUAAAUAUAAAAGUCAGUGAGAAGGGACAGUCUGGUCUUUAUAGUGAGAAUCAGUGUUUUAUUGGUGGUUAUUAUAGAAUGCUGAAACUGAAACAUGUCCUUGUGGGGAGAUUGUUUUCUUGUAUAUCCCCUCUUGAGCUCCUUGAGACACACAGGUGGAAGCAAGUUCUGAGGUCAGAGCCCAAGGUCAGCCAGUGUCCAGCAACCCUGGAGCGAUCGAGGUUAUGAGCCUCUGCCUGCCACGUAAUUCAAACCGUGCUUCAGCCCCCCUCAGCUCCAUAAGUGCCUUUAGCUCGUCCAGCGAGGCCCCAAAGCCGCCUGUAUGAUUGUCCUCGGAUGCCCCGCUGACAAGCCCACUCCCCCUCUGGCUCUUGGGGUAAAACGCCACGGUGCUGUUGCUGAAAUCCCCCAUGACUGCAGAGUCCCGCCUGCUCCUCCUUCCACCAUUUUAUGACUCCUCCAAAGGGUCAGCGAACAAGGCUCCAGUCCAUUGGUAAAAGGAUGGAUACACAGACUGUAAAAGGCUUCACCACAAUCUGCAACCUGGUGAAAAAAAGUGAAAAAUCAGUGAUCCAUGAUGAAUCUUUGACCCAGCCAGCUGCCCUCUCCAAUAUUCCUGAUCAGAUUAUUGAAUCCUCCUUGAAUGUAUCCAAUCAUUUAAAUACCCACUCCAGUGAGUAGCUCAUUGUGUAGUACUGUGAGUUCAUCUGAUUUUGGCAUUGUUCUGUCCUGUUGCGUUUUUUGUUGACCUGCUUAUGUUCACGGUUAUGAGUCUUAAGGACUGCUUUCGUUUCUUGAAUAAACCUCACUUGGACGUCCACAUCAUUCAUCAUAUUCUGUUGCUUCUACACAUGAAGUUUAAGUAGAGGACUAAGUCAUGGUCUGAUAUAGAAAAUAUACAUCUGUCAGUAUUAAACAAUUGUGUCCAAAGUUCUGGAGAAGAUAGUUGCUGCUCAGCUUCAGUCAUACAACACACAACAUACUGGAAAGAUUAUAGUCUGGCUUCCGUUAAGGACACAGCACUGAAACUGCCUUAAUUAGUGUUGGUAAUGACAUAACAAUGACAUAACAAUGCCAACUAAUGCGAACAAUGUGACUGUGUGAUAAUGCUUCUAGACCCUUGACACAGUUGACCAUUUUACUCUGUGACAUAGACCUGAAUUUGAUGAUACAAGUAUCCAAAACUACACUCCAUCAUCAAUGUCACUGGUCAAAUAUGGAGCACCACAGGGAUCAGUUAUUGGUUCUAUAUCUUGGUUCUACAGUAUAUUUCUACAUGCUGCCAUUAGGUAAGAUAAUGAGAAAAUAUUAUGUUAAUUCUCAUUCCUAUGCUGACGACAUUUCAGCAACACCUAAUGACACCUCAUCAAUUGUCACUUUAGCUAAUUGCUUUAAUGAAGUUAAAACUUGGAUGAGUGAAAACAUUUUGUCACUCAGGCAUUGAUUCUCCCCUGCACUUAAGUCAAAAAUGCGCAUAGUUGCAAAACAAAUAUUACAGUCCAAAAUGCAUGUGAAUAAUUUAUAGAAUUACAUAAAAAUUAUAUAACACAACAGUAUAUAGAAAUAUGUAAUUAAAUACAAAGUAUAUUGCUAUUAGGCAGGAUUCAAGUGACAUUUGGCUUGUCAACACACCAAGUAGGUGAAUCAAUAAGGCUAAAUGAAUUAUCGAUAAAAAAAAUCUUUCAACUGAAAUGAAUAAAAAUAGAUUGUAGUGUAUCGUCACAAUCACUUAUUUGUGUUCUACAACAGUGGGACAGAUAGAGAUGCCUUCGUCUUGAUGUGCUUCAACUGACUGAGACUGUACACAUCGCAUGUUUCCAGGUGGAUUGUGGAACACGAGCUCUGACCUCAAGCUUUGAUGUCCAUCAGCAGCUCAGCUUAUGAUCUAUGCCAGUGGUUCUUAAUCAGUGGGUCACACAACUAUGGGAGCCUGGUGUGGUUAACACACACAUAUAUAUAUAUAUAUAUAUAUUAGACUUUUGUGGUCAUUUUUGUGGUCAUCCCGGGUGUUUUUUUACCUACAGUACAGUAUAGCACUAGUCAACUGUUUCAUCCCAUGUAAUGUCCCAUGUUUAAAUUAUGCCUCAAUGA